UGGGCUAUCGCCAAGCGGUAAGGCAACAGACUUUGACUCUGUCAUUCGUUGGUUCGAAUCCAGCUAGCCCAGUCA
RNAcentral lists this transfer RNA (75 nucleotides) under Trichococcus flocculiformis. RNAcentral describes it as "tRNA_Gln_TTG". It matches the Rfam family "tRNA". From Rfam's summary of the family: Transfer RNA (tRNA) molecules are approximately 80 nucleotides in length. The record is from RNAcentral. Lineage: Bacteria; Bacillati; Bacillota; Bacilli; Lactobacillales; Carnobacteriaceae. RNAcentral also lists the same sequence under 6 other names.